GGAGAUUGCAGUGAGCUGAGAUCGUGCCACUGCACUCUAGGCUGGUCAACAGAGCGAGACGCCGUCUCAAAAAUGAAUGAAUGAAUAAAUGAAUGAAUGAAUGAAAGCUUAUUCAUCAUGAAUGAAAUAAGCCAUCAUUAGAAUGUGCCCUCAUACCCUACAUCCCAUAAAUAAGGCUUAUUAAGCCCAUUUCACGGCUAACAGGCUACAUUUUAAUAAUAUAAUCAAUGAAGAAUUCAGGUGACUGCCAUAUAGAGAAAUCUAAUCAUUUAAAAAUUUUUAAUAUUUAAAUGUUUAUGGUAUACAUUAAGGAGGGAACAUGGCUAUGACCAACUCUUGACAAGCAGCUGUUAAAACUUUGGAGUUUCAGGCUGGGCGCGGUGGCUCACUCCUAUAAUCCCAGCACUUUGGGAGGCCGAGGCAGGAGGAUCACUUGAGGUCAGGAGUUUGAGACCAGCCUGGCCAACAUGGUAAAACCCUGUCUUUACUAAAAAUACAAAAAUUAGCUAGGCAUGGUGGCACACGCCUUUCUCCUGCCUCGGCCUCCCAAAGUGCUGAGAUUACAGGCAUGAGUCACUGUCCCUGGCAUGAAUUCCUUUUUAAGGAUUCCAAGUCGGGACACCCAGGGGGCAUAGUUUUAUGGGCCAUGGAUUAAUUAAGGCUAAUUAAUCCCACUGAGCCAUUUUAGGAAAUAUCUUUACUAUAUUUAUGUUAUUCCUGUUAACUCAAUAACAUUGUAAACAGCUAGGUAUGAAGCCAUAAUUUUAAGGCUGACAAAAAGAAACAGAAUUAAGUUCCCAAGAAAAACUAAAGAUUAUCUAGGACUUUAUUUUUUCUAGUCAUGUUCUUAAAAUAAUAACAAGCUCAAAAUUUGAAGAAGCGUUAUUAGAAUUUGUUUAGAGGAAACAAAACUGCCAAACUGAAACAUUUACUUUAAAAUGGAGAAGUACUGUGAUUCUACUGAAAGGGAAAUGCUUUCUGAAAGUUUUUGAAUUUGAGUAAAACACAUUUAGUUAAAUCUGUAGUUAGAAACUGAUACAGAAAACUCUAAAUAUUUGCUAUCCAAGUAGUUCCAACCUGGCACACAUACGCAGCUUCUCAUUUUGUGGGAAGAGAUACAGAGGCAUGAGUAACUGCUUUGUCCAGCUUGUUGUAGUAUGCCUGUAUUUAAAAAUUAAAAGCACUGGUGCUAAGAUGAUCUUCAUAUGAAAUGUAUAGAUCAACUAGUAAAGUACAAUUUGGCAUUAGUUUGCUAGGACUGCCAUAACAAAGUACCACAAGUUGCGUGGCUUAAAACAACAGAAAUUGAUUCUCUCAUAGUUCUGGAGGCUGGAAAGUCCUUAAUCAAGGAGUUGGCAGGGGCAUGCUCCCUCCAAAGGAUCCAGGGAAGAAUCCUUCCUUGUCUCUUCCAGUUUCUGGUGGUUGCCUGCAAUCCUUGGCAUUCCUUGACUCAUAGAUGCAUCAUUCCAGUCUCUGCUUCCGUCAUCACAUGUCAUUCUCUGUGCGUGUGUGUCUGUGUAUUUACAUGACCUUCUUAGAAGGACACCAGUCAUUGGACACCCUAAUCCAGUAUGACAUCUUCAUAAUUAAUUACAUCUCCAAAGACACUUAUUUCCAAACAAGGUCACAUUCUGCAGUUCUGGGUAAACAUAAAUUUUGAGUGAAGGACAAUAUUCAACCCAGUACAGCAUGGAAAACUGAUUUAACCCUGAAUUAAUUAUUUACAUGUGAGUGCAAAUUACACAAAUCUAAUAUAAAAUAAUGAAAUGUUACCCUGUCAUCCAUUAAUUAUGCUUUCUUGGAAAUUGGUGUGUUAAAGUGUUAUUUAUGUCUUGUAAUGAUACUUUGAAUCAGAGUUGGAAUUUGUAUGUGAUACAUUGAAAGGUCAGUGGGUGGGUGAGUUUUUGAUGGACUGAAAAACCACGUUUUUCAGAUAAAAAGCAUUUCACAAAUAUUAUUUGGUAGUAGUUUUCAGUCUUCUCAGUUUCUAGUAUAAAUUUUCCUAUUAAAAGAAUAACUAUUUAGUUUGUAAAUCACCAGUGUUACAAAGCAUUGUUAAAUGACACAUCUCUCUGCCAAACUUUGACAACUAAGUUUUAAAUAUUAACUGGCCAUCUGUCAUACCUCUGAACAGCUGUUAGCAUUUGUUACUCACUGCUGUUUCCAUAGUAAAUGCCCCACCUAAUUAAGAUUAUUUUUGUGGGAAGUCUCAAAAUUAUGGUUUCUGAAAAUAUAAUGGGUGAUUAGAUUAAUAUAGCAAUUUAUUGAUGGAUUUUUAAAAUUGUAGUAGCAAUUAAUUUAGAAGUCUUUAUAAUAUUAAUUUAUAAGUAGACUUUUAUAAUAGACUUAGUAACUUUUAAAUAUUUCAUUAGCAAUUAACUGAUACUUGGAAUCUUUCAUAUUUUGUAUGGCCAACAUCUUUAUUAUAAUUUUUUACUGUUUAGGGAGAGUUAGCAUUUUUCCCUCUGGCCUGGAGUUAGCCAUGGAAAACUACAAUUCUUGAUUUACUAUUUUGCUUUUUUGAGAUGACAUUAAAUUAGUAGCCAUAUUUAGAAGAGCUUAUUUUUAGAACUCAGAAGUUUCCUAAAGGAAAAAGGUGGAACUUCUACAAUAAUCUGGUGAUAAUGUUUUUGAGCAAUUUGGGGUCUGAGAAGUAAGUUAAAUACAAUGUUAGGUUUGGAUAUUUGAAGAGAUUGCCAAUCAGGAAAUGCCAAAACUAAGUUUCCCAAGAAUGUGUAGUCCAGUCCAUUUGCAUUUAAAUGUCUAGAAUAGGCCGGGCUAGCGGUGGCUCAAGCCUGUAAUCCCAGCACUUUGGGAGGCCGAGAGGCGGAUCACAGGUCAGGAGAUCGAGACCAUCCCAUGGACAUGGUGAAACCCCGUCUCUACUAAAAAUACAAAAAAAAACUAGCCGGGCGAGGUGGCGGGUGCCUGUAGUCCCAGCUACUCAGGAGGCUGAGGCAGGAGAAUGGCGUGAACCCGGGAGGCAGAGCUUGCAGUGAGCCGAGAUCUGGCCACUGCACUCCAGCCUGGGCGACAGAGAGACUCCAUCUCAAAAAAAUAAAAUAAAAUAAAAUAAAAAAAUAAAUGUCUAGAAUAAUAAAGCCUAUCUGAGGACCUUCAGAGGAUGAGCUACUAGUAAUUUCUCAGGGCCCCAUCCAGUCUCAAGAGUCAGCUUUGUCAAUUAUGAAACCAGCUGCAUAGUGGGCCCCUGCCCAGUUGUGGUGGUCUUUGUGCUUGCCUCCUGGGGCUGUAGACUGAAGUGCAUUGCUGCUCACUUUAAAUUUGAGUGUCUCUCCACUGUUUUCUAACUGGAUGGGCAAAACCUCCCGUAUCUGUUUCCCUCCGUGUUUUGAAGUAUUAUUGUCAGUGUAAAAGUACUGCAUGAAACAAAUUACCUGAAAGCUAGAAAUACCAUAUGUUGUGAAUAUUCUCAAAGUAUUUUUUCUUCUUUCUUAACGUAAGUAAAUGUCAAUAAGCUUAGCAAAAAAAAAAAAAAAAAAAAAA
This 3504-nucleotide long non-coding RNA is filed under the name Macaca fascicularis (crab-eating macaque). Its description in RNAcentral is "lncRNA (ENSMFAG00000056439.1)". Lineage: Eukaryota; Metazoa; Chordata; Mammalia; Primates; Cercopithecidae. The record is from RNAcentral.